This 301-nucleotide ribosomal RNA is filed under the name uncultured bacterium. RNAcentral's name for it is "partial 16S ribosomal RNA". It matches the Rfam family "Bacterial small subunit ribosomal RNA", at positions 509 to 809 of the family's 1533-position model. The record is from RNAcentral.
CAGUAGCCGCGGUAAUACGUAGGGGGCAAGCGUUGUCCGGAAUUAUUGGGCGUAAAGGGCUCGCAGGCGGUUUCUUAAGUCUGAUGUGAAAGCCCCCGGCUCAACCGGGGAGGGUCAUUGGAAACUGGGAAACUUGAGUGCAGAAGAGGAGAGUGGAAUUCCACGUGUAGCGGUGAAAUGCGUAGAGAUGUGGAGGAACACCAGUGGCGAAGGCGACUCUCUGGUCUGUAACUGACGCUGAGGAGCGAAAGCGUGGGGAGCGAACAGGAUUAGAUACCCCUGUAGUCCCUGUCUCUUAUAA